RNAcentral lists this non-coding RNA (45 nucleotides) under Schistosoma mansoni. The record is from RNAcentral. Lineage: Eukaryota; Metazoa; Platyhelminthes; Trematoda; Strigeidida; Schistosomatidae. RNAcentral also lists the same sequence under 1 other name.
AUCCAGCUGGUGAGUCCCAAAUAGGACGAAACGCGCGUCCUAGAU